UACGAAGGGGGCUAGCGUUGUUCGGAAUCACUGGGCGUAAAGGGCGCGUAGGCGGACUCUUAAGUCGGUGGUGAAAUCCUGGAGCUCAACUCCAGAACUGCCUUCGAUACUGAGAGUCUCGAGUCCGAGAGAGGUGAGUGGAACUGCGAGUGUAGAGGUGAAAUUCGUAGAUAUUCGCAAGAACACCAGUGGCGAAGGCGGCUCACUGGCUCGGUACUGACGCUGAGGUGCGAAAGCGUGGGGAGCAAACAGG
Molecule: ribosomal RNA, 253 nt
Filed under: uncultured bacterium
Lineage: Bacteria
Description: partial 16S ribosomal RNA
Rfam family: Bacterial small subunit ribosomal RNA
Source: RNAcentral